UUUAGAUUAAUAGUCUAUUACUUUGUAUUAGUAAUUUCAGGUUUUAAAAUUGAUGUAUAUAUUUUUUUAAAUGCUUCUGAAUUUACCCAUAUUUUUUAGCAAAUAUAUAUAAGUUCAGGGUAAAUUCUGCAAAUUUACCCUAUUUUCAGGCGACCGCUUAGUUGUCGCCUGAAGCGCCUAGGCGGCCAUGCGGUCAUGGCCAUCGCAUGACCGCAUGGCCGCCUAAAAAACCUUGAGAAAUACAGAUGUUAACUUUGUGGGAGGCUUCACUUUUGCGGCAAAAUUCCUAGGUUCACAGACCAAGGAAAACUGCUUUAUAGAAAUAGAGUUGAUGGGCAUCUCCAUCUCUUACGCUAUUUAUUUAAUUUAAGUGCUAUGUAUUUCCUGUUUUUAUUUUCCAUAUUAAUGGACUUUAACUUCAUAAAAAAAAGGACUAGGUGUCCAAUUGUCUAUUGAUCUAUAUUCUAUACUUCAUAGUCUAUUAUGCAUUUGCACUACACAUUUACUAAAUAGUAAGUAUUAUUUAAACUUUAUAUGAUUCAUUCAUAGGGAAAUUGCAACCAGCUAAAUAACUAGCUGGAUGUCAGGCAUUCAAGCCAUAUAAGAAAUUGACAAUGAGUUUAUUAAUCUCCUUAUUCUAUGUAACCUUUGGGUUAUGCUUUCUUCAAUAUAAAUGGAAUUUUAUCUUUAACAAAAAACAAUUUGAUUGAAAAUUUGAAUUAUAAUGAUGUCGUAUUUUGUCUCCUGUCAGUUGAUUACUAAUGGG
RNAcentral lists this long non-coding RNA (766 nucleotides) under Zostera marina. RNAcentral describes it as "long non-coding RNA (ZMAR_LNC000946)". Lineage: Eukaryota; Viridiplantae; Streptophyta; Magnoliopsida; Alismatales; Zosteraceae. The record is from RNAcentral.